CUCCAGUCGGCACGCAGAGAAUUGUUGUCUCUAUGGUGAAGGCGGAAGUAACCCUUUCGAGCGCGCCAUGGAACCGCUCUUAGAACAGCUGGAGCGCUUUUCCGAAGUUCUGGCGGUCUCCCGCACGAGCCACGUCAGUACCUGGGACUCCGCGACAGUGCGCAGGGCACUACAGUGGGCUCGCUACCUGCGGCAUGUCUACCGGCGCUUUGGCCGCCAUGAACGCAUCCGCACCGCCCUGGAGCGGCGCCUGCACAGCCAGUGGAGGCCGGAGGGCGGCCUUGGGCUGGAUUCGGUCCCGGGCCUGACGAACUUCGAGGCCCUCAGGUGCAGUGAUGUCCUGUUAUCCCUGCGCCUGUUGAGGAAUCGGGCCCUGGGGGAUGCCGCCUGUUACUACCUGCUGCAGCAGCUCUUCCCCGGCCCUGGCGUCCCAGGCGGCGACCAGGUUUCGCUGCAAGACCAGCUGGCCCGCCUCGCUCGCCGCCGCUCGGCAGUCCACAUGCUGCGCGCUAAUGGCUAUAGAGAGAGCCCGAAGCUUCAGGAGGACCCACUGAUGAAGACUCAGGCGGAGCUGCUGCUGGGGCGUCUGCAGGAGGUGGGCUCGGCCCAGGCGGAGAGCAGGAGCAGGUUUCUCGGCAGCCUGUGGGAGCGCUUGCCGCGGAGCAACUUCCUGAAGGUGAUCGCGGUGGCGCUGCUCCUGCAGCCGCCGCUGGCUCCCCGGCCGCAGGAAGAGCUGGAGGUGGGCCGUCCCCAGACAGCUGGCGAGGGCAGUCGAGAGCUAGUCCAUUGGCUGCUGGAGAACUCGGAGGUCAUGGCUGCUUUUUGCCGGAACAACCCAGCGGGGCUUUUAACUUCGGUGGCAGUCCGUUACCCCGCGCUGACUCGCGUCUAUCUGGCUCUGCUCACAGACUGGGGUCGGCACCUGCGCUACGAUCUUCCGAACGGGGUUUGGGUUGGGGUCGAGACCCAAGACGUGCAGUGGGCGGAGUUGUGUGAUAGGUUCCAAAGCCUCUGUCAGAGCUCCACACCUUUGAAAGAUGAAGUUCUAACUGCCCUGCAGGCCCUCAAGAAGCAGGAUGGAGAUUUCGAAGCCCCUGGGCUUAGCAUCUGGACAGACCUGCUAUUGGCUAUUCGCAGCAGUGCAUGACACUGCAUUUGGGGGGGGGACAACUUUCAGGUCCCAGCCCAGGUCCCAGUUCUCUAUGGGCCACGUUUUGUUGCUAAUAAGGGUGCCCUGACAAUGUAUGUGAUCACUGAUCCCAACCACCGUAUCUUUGCCAGAUGAUUGUGAUUGUGACUUGACUGGUUUUUAUUUUUUUUUAUUGUACCUAUAUAAUGUAUACUUUACCUAACUGCCCAGCUAGUGAACUUGAAAUCAUAUUUACUGACAAAUAUGAAGUGACUGGAAGAUAACUUGGACUCUCAUCACAACAUGUAACUGUAAGCAUCUCUACCGACUUCACUAUCUGCUUGUUUUUAGUGACAAAUUAUUCUAUGUUAAGCCAAUUGCUAUACUUAUACACUAAAUUUCAUUCCCUCCCAUCCACUCAAGAUCAUAGCUCCAGCAGUUUUCUUCCUCUCUUACAUAUGCAGCAUAGACACACAGGCUGCUACUUAUACCACCUUAAACAAAUUAAACAAAACCAUCCCUAUUUCACAAAGCAGAUAUUGGCUUUAUUUGCUUUCCUUUGCAGCUAACUUCUUGAACACUUCUCAUUUUCCCUUAAGACUACCCCAAUCUAGACUUUGCUCUGGACCUUGCCAUUUCGUCAGAAGACACAUGUUUUCUACAUUGCCAAAUCCAGCAGUCUGUUCUCAGAUCGUAUUUCUUUUUAAUCCAUCUGGAAAAUUUGGUAGCUGAUGUCUUUCUUCUUGUUAUGUUCUUGCUGUUUGGCUUCCAGGGUAUUAUUGUCUCUUGGUUUCCCUCUACCUUUACUGUCACUCCCUUAUAAUAUUUUCCCUACUCUCUUUAAACUCUCAAUAUUGAAGUGCUCCAAGACUCACUCCUUCUCUAUCUUUUUAAUAAUUUUGUCCUGUCAGCAACUUUAACAUCAUCUGUGAGUGACUGAUACUUUUCUCCAACUUGGAUGUCUUGCUGAAACUCCAGACCUAUACAUCACUCAGCUACUACUUUUGGACCUAAAACUUAAUGUGUGUCGAAUCUACUUGAUCAGCAUCCUUCAUCUCUGUUACUAGCAACUCUAUUCUGAUUUGCCCACUCCAAAAAUAUUGGAAUUAUGCAUCUUUACCCAUGCAUGCCAGCUGACUUUAUUAGCUCAACAUUCUGAAUAUAAUCACAAUUUGACAACUUUUUACCAUCUAUAUUGCUAAAACCUGACUCAGUUAUUGUAUCGUCUCUUACUUGACUUUCUGCAGCAGCUUAAAGGACAGCUUUAGAGUCACAGCAAAUUGAAGAUGGUACAGAGACUUCCUUUACUUUCCUCAUGUGUAUGGGCUUCACAUUAUUGAUAUCUCCCACAAAAGUGGUGUAGUUCUGCGGACCUAACACUAUAGCAUCAUUAUCACCCAAACCCAUUGUUUACAUUAGGGUUUAGUCUAAAUGUUGGACAUUCUAUGGAUUUGGAUGGGUGUAUAAUGACAUUUAACAUUAUGUUAUCAUAUAGAGUUGUCCCAUUGCCCUGAAAAUCUUUAGUGUUCUGUAUACUUAUCCUUUCUUGUACUCAUUCCUGGAAUCUAUUGAUUUAUUUUUAUUGUCUUCAUAGUUUUUCCAUUUACAAAAUGUCAUAUAGUUGAGAUCAUUCUCUAUAUAGGAUUUUCAAACUGGCUUCUUUAACCUAGUAAUGUGCACUUAAUAUUUUCAUGGCUUAUAGGUCAUUACUGUUUAGUGCUGAAUAGCAUACCAUUGCCUGAAAAUGUACUGUUUAUUUAUCCAUUCACCUACUAAGGACAUGCCAGUUGCUUCCAAAUUUGGCAAUUGUAAGUAAAAGCUUCUGUAAACACUUUUGUGCAGAUUGUUGUGUAGACAUAUAUUUUCAGCUCCUUGGGGCAAAUACCAAAAAGCAUGAUUGCUGGACCACAUGGUAAGAGCAUGUUUAGUUUUGUAAGAAACUGCCAAGCUGUCUUCCAAAAUGGCCAUUUUGCGUUCUGACCAGCAAUGAAUGAGAGUUCCUGUUGCUAAUCAUCAGCAUUUGGUGUUGUCUGUGUUCAGGAUUUUAACCAUUGUAAUAGGUCUAUAGUAGUAUCUCAUUGUGUUAAUUUGAGAUAGUCUUUUAGUCAGACAUUCUUGAUUUCCUCUUGGUCUCUCUAUUAUCCAUUCUGAAUAAUGCAGGUAGAAUGGCUUAAAUUAAAGAACAUUGUGGUAUUCCUCUCUAAAAUCCUGUGCUGGCCUCUCUUACUAUAAAGUUGUUCUAAUGGCAUAUGCAGUUUUAUAUGAUAAGCACCAUCUCUUUUACUCUUCUGCCUUUUCUUCUACUCUUUCCCUAAUUCCUCUGCCUUCUUUCUAAUCACACUACCUUCUUUGCUGCUCUUAGAAUAUGUCAGUCAUGGUCCUGCCUUAUACCUGUUUUUGCUGCCUAUAGAACUCUCCCUGUUAUCUAUUUAGCUAACACCCUUACUUAUUUCAUGUAUUUGCUCAAUUCUCAUUCUUCAAGGGUUAGUCAAAGUAUUCUAUUUAAUAUAGCUGUUUUUGUAACCACAAGACUGCUCACUUUUAUCUCUUGCCCUCAUUCAGAACCUCUCUCUACUGUUACAUUCUUUCCUUUCCUAUGGAAAUUUAAUCCCCAUCCACUAAUAUGCUGUUUAGUUAUUUAUUAUGUUUAUUAUGACAAUGAUGAUUUAGUUUCCUCCAUCCCUCAAUAUAAGUAAGUUCUGUUAGAGCAGGGUGUUUCAUAUUUUGUUCAGUAAAAUAUCUCGAGAAGAGAAUGAUCUUAGCACAAAAAAGAUCAGAAAUUAUUUGUUAGAUUAAUAUAUGAAUGUAUGAAGAUGAUUUUACAAAGGCAACUUUAUGAUCUCACUGAUCUGCUAAAAAAAAACUCUGUGACUUCCUAUUCUACAUUGAAUAAAGACCACUUUCUUUCUUGCAUGACAAGAUCAAAUGUAUAUUUUGCUUAUCUUUUUAAUUUUUUUUUAUUUGACAGAUAGAAUUAGACAGUGAGAAAGAGAGACAGAGAGAAAGGUCUUCCUUCCAUUGGUUCAAACCCCUGAAUGGCUGCUAUGGCCAGAGCUACGCCAAUCCGAAGCAAAGACACAGGUGCUUCCUCCCAGUCUCCCACACAAGUACAGGGGCCCAAGCACCCAGGCCAUCCUCCACUGCCUUCCUGGGCCACAGCAGAGAGCUUGACCGGAUGAGGAGCAACCGCGACUAGAACCCAGCGCCCACAUGGGAUGCCAGGGCCGCAGGCGGAGGAUUAACCAAGUGAGCCACGGCACCAGCCUCCUCUUGCCAUUCUUUUUAAAUACAUUCACAAAACACAAGAAUUCUUUCAAUAUAUACAAAUAUAAUUAAUCUCUUAAUUUCCUUCAGGCCUCCCAUUUUCCUAUUAAUUGCAGUUUUGUUGUUCAUGCGUGUCUGUAUCUUCUACUGGUCCACAAGCUCAGUAAGGACGACACUGCCUGUUUUCCUUGCCAUUGAAGAUACAAGUGUCUUAUACCAUAACUGACAUAUAUUAAGUCAUUGAUAACUAGUUUUAAAUGUAUAAGAAUACAUUUCUUAGAGUAUUAUACCCUGGAUUAUAUAUCUAAAAAUAUGUCAUUUUAAUAGUGACUACAACGAGUAUACAUCCAAGCAAGAGCAGUAGGGGAUCUGGUACCAAUAGAUGGUGACAUUUCCACACAAUGCUACACUGAAAGAUCUUCUAAAUCCCCUUUGUUGCACUUGAAUUGGAUAAACAUCCACCAAUGUCAAGAUUUAGUUGUUGUGAUUAAAUUUCCACUUUUACUUGAUAUUUAUAAGUGUUUUUUCUUUUUGGAGUUUUGGAGCUCUAAAACACUAUACGAACUCAGUAAAGAAGGAUCCGUAUUCCGUGGCUAACAGUGGAUAUAGGAUAUUCACUAUUAACGUACAUUAAUUAACAUAAAUGCUCUGGGAAGAAACUAUUGAUUUCCCUCAGGGAUUAAUUGGAAAUGAUCAAUCACUAUAUUAGAAGUGUGGCAGUAAUAUCGUUUAUCAGAUGCCAGUUGUUAUAGUGGGCGAAGAAUACCCUCUUGGCUUAGAAAUAUGGAGACCCUAAGGAGAAGGAGCUUAAAUCAUUACAAUAAUUGACGGAUAUACAACUGUUUCUUAGAUCUUCAUUACUCUUAAUAUCGGGAUUAAGGUUUGAAUUCAGAAGAGUUUACAGUGCCUUAAAUUCACAUUGUAGUUUUAUACUUUCAUAAAAGAUAAGGACUUGCAUUGUAGAAAU
This is a non-coding RNA of Oryctolagus cuniculus (rabbit), 5360 nucleotides long. The record is from RefSeq and is a predicted model, not a curated record. Lineage: Eukaryota; Metazoa; Chordata; Mammalia; Lagomorpha; Leporidae.